RNAcentral lists this ribosomal RNA (301 nucleotides) under uncultured bacterium. RNAcentral describes it as "partial 16S ribosomal RNA". It matches the Rfam family "Bacterial small subunit ribosomal RNA", at positions 509 to 808 of the family's 1533-position model. The record is from RNAcentral.
CAGCAGCCGCGGUAAUACCGAGGGUGCGAGCGUUAAUCGGAUUUACUGGGCGUAAAGCGUGCGUAGGCGGCUUCUUAAGUCGGAUGUGAAAUCCCUGAGCUUAACUUAGGAAUUGCAUUCGAUACUGGGAAGCUAGAGUAUGGGAGAGGAUGGUAGAAUUCCAGGUGUAGCGGUGAAAUGCGUAGAGAUCUGGAGGAAUACCGAUGGCUAAGGCAGCCAUCUGGCCUAAUACUGACGCUGAGGUACGAAAGCAUGGGGAGCAAACAGGAUUAGAUCCCCCGUAGUCCCUGUCUCUUAUACA